Molecule: ribosomal RNA, 1348 nt
Filed under: metagenome
Description: bacterial LSU rRNA
Rfam family: Bacterial large subunit ribosomal RNA
Source: RNAcentral
UGAGUACGAGCUGCUACGGCAGCGAAGUGGGUGAUGUCAAGCUUCCAAGAAAAGCCCUAUACCCGUUAAGGCAUGAUGGCCUGUACCCGAAACCGACACAGGUGGGGUGGUAGAGAAUACCGAGGGGCGCGAGGUAACUCUCUCUAAGGAACUCGGCAAAAUGGCCCCGUAACUUCGGGAGAAGGGGUGCCACCGCAAGGUGGUCGCAGUGAAGAGGCCCAGGCGACUGUUUACCAAAAACACAGGUCUCCGCUAAGUCGCAAGACGAUGUAUGGGGGCUGACGCCUGCCCAGUGCCGGAAGGUUAAGGAAGCUGGUCAGCGCAAGCGAAGCUGGCGACUGAAGCCCCGGUGAACGGCGGCCGUAACUAUAACGGUCCUAAGGUAGCGAAAUUCCUUGUCGGGUAAGUUCCGACCCGCACGAAAGGCGUAACGAUCUGGGCGCUGUCUCGGAGAGAGGCUCGGCGAAAUAGAAUUGUCUGUGAAGAUGCGGACUACGUGCACCCGGACAGAAAGACCCUAUGAAGCUUUACUGUAGCUUGGUAUUGUGCCCGGGCUCUGAAUGCGCAGGAUAGGUGGGAGGCUUUGAUCCAUUGCUUGUGGGUGAUGGUGAGCCACUGGUGAGAUACCACUCUUUCAGAGCUAGGGUUCUAACGGUCACCCGUUAUCCGGGGACCGGACAGUAUCAGGUGGGCAGUUUGACUGGGGCGGUCGCCUCCCAAAAGGUAACGGAGGCGCGCAAAGGUUCCCUCAGGCUGGUUGGAAAUCAGCCGACGAGUGUAAAGGCAGAAGGGAGCUUGACUGUGAGACCUACAAGUCGAACAGGGACGAAAGUCGGCCUUAGUGAUCCGACGGUUCUGAGUGGAAGGGCCGUCGCUCAACGGAUAAAAGUUACUCUAGGAUAACAGGCUGAUCUCCCCCAAGAGUUCACAUCGACGGGGAGGUUUGGCACCUCGAUGUCGGCUCAUCGCAACCUGGGGCUGAAGUCGGUCCCAAGGGUUGGGCUGUUCGCCCAUUAAAGCGGUACGCGAGCUGGGUUCAGAACGUCGUGAGACAGUUCGGUCCAUAUCCGGUGCACGCGCAGGAACAUUGAGAGGAUUUCUCCCUAGUACGAGAGGACCGGGAGGAACGCACCUCUGGUGUACCAGUUAUCGUGCCAACGGUAAACGCUGGGUAGCCAUGUGCGGAGUGGAUAACCGCUGAAAGCAUCUAAGUGGGAAGCCCACCUCAAGAUGUGUGUUCCCAUGGCAUAAGCCAGUAAGGUCACGGGAAGAACACCCGUUGAUAGGCUCUACGUGGAAGCGUGGCAACACGUGAAGCGGAGGAGUACUAAUAGACCGAGGGCUUGAC